GACAGUGUGCCCGAGCGGUUAAGGGGUCUGACUCGAAAUCAGUUGGGCUUUGCCCGCGCAGGUUCGAAUCCUGCUGCUGUCG
This 82-nucleotide transfer RNA is filed under the name Candida tropicalis. Its description in RNAcentral is "tRNA-Ser (CGA) (tRNA-Ser-CGA-1-1)". It matches the Rfam family "tRNA". From Rfam's summary of the family: Transfer RNA (tRNA) molecules are approximately 80 nucleotides in length. Their secondary structure includes four short double-helical elements and three loops (D, anti-codon, and T loops). RNAcentral also lists the same sequence under 1 other name. The record is from RNAcentral. Lineage: Eukaryota; Fungi; Ascomycota; Pichiomycetes; Serinales; Debaryomycetaceae.